RNAcentral lists this ribosomal RNA (292 nucleotides) under uncultured bacterium. Its description in RNAcentral is "partial 16S ribosomal RNA". It matches the Rfam family "Bacterial small subunit ribosomal RNA", at positions 505 to 796 of the family's 1533-position model. The record is from RNAcentral.
GUGCCAGCCGCCGCGGUAAUACGGAGGGUGCAAGCGUUAAUCGGAAUUACUGGGCGUAAAGCGCGCGUAGGCGGCUUGGUAAGUCGAUUGUGAAAGCCCCGGGCUCAACCUGGGAAUUGCAGUCGAGACUGUCAGGCUAGAGUGUGGGAGAGGGCAGUGGAAUUCCCGGUGUAGCGGUGAAAUGCGUAGAUAUCGGGAGGAACAUCAGUGGCGAAGGCGACUGCCUGGCCCAACACUGACGCUGAGGUGCGAAAGCGUGGGUAGCAAACAGGAUUAGAUACCCCCGUAGUCC